Molecule: ribosomal RNA, 254 nt
Filed under: uncultured bacterium
Lineage: Bacteria
Description: partial 16S ribosomal RNA
Rfam family: Bacterial small subunit ribosomal RNA
Source: RNAcentral
UACGUAGGGUCCGAGCGUUUGUCCGGAAUUACUGGGCGUAAAGAGCUCGUAGGUGGUUUGUCGCGUUGUUCGUGAAAACUCACAGCUCAACUGUGGGCGUGCGGGCGAUACGGGCAGACUAGAGUACUGCAGGGGAGACUGGAAUUCCUGGUGUAGCGGUGGAAUGCGCAGAUAUCAGGAGGAACACCGGUGGCGAAGGCGGGUCUCUGGGCCGAUACUGACACUGAGAAGCGAAAGCGUGGGGAGCAAACAGG